This 492-nucleotide ribosomal RNA is filed under the name uncultured bacterium. RNAcentral describes it as "partial 16S ribosomal RNA". It matches the Rfam family "Bacterial small subunit ribosomal RNA", at positions 29 to 507 of the family's 1533-position model. The record is from RNAcentral.
AGUGAACGCUGGCGGUAGGCCUAACACAUGCAAGUCGAACGGCAGCACAGUAAGAGCUUGCUCUUACGGGUGGCGAGUAGCGGACGGGUGAGGAAUACAUCGGAAUCUACUUUUUCGUGGGGGAUAACGUAGGGAAACUUACGCUAAUACCGCAUACGACCUACGGGUGAAAGCAGGGGAUCUUCGGACCUUGCGCGAUUGAAUGAGCCGAUGUCGGAUUAGCUAGUUGGCGGGGUAAAGGCCCACCAAGGCGACGAUCCGUAGCUGGUCUGAGAGGAUGAUCAGCCACACUGGAACUGAGACACGGUCCAGACUCCUACGGGAGGCAGCAGUGGGGAAUAUUGGACAAAGGGCGCAAGCCUGAUCCAGCCAUACCGCGUGGGUGAAGAAGGCCUUCGGGUUGUAAAGCCCUUUUGUUGGGAAAGAAAAGCAGCAGGUUAAUACCCCGCUGUUCUGACGGUACCCAAAGAAUAAGCACCGGCUAACUUCGUG